GGGAAGGUGGCUCAGUGGUAGAGUGCUUGUCUUGCAUGCAUGAGGCCCUGGGUUCGAUUCCUCAACCCCA
This 70-nucleotide transfer RNA is filed under the name Dipodomys ordii (Ord's kangaroo rat). It matches the Rfam family "tRNA". From Rfam's summary of the family: Transfer RNA (tRNA) molecules are approximately 80 nucleotides in length. Their secondary structure includes four short double-helical elements and three loops (D, anti-codon, and T loops). Lineage: Eukaryota; Metazoa; Chordata; Mammalia; Rodentia; Heteromyidae. The record is from Rfam by way of RNAcentral.